UACGAAGGUCCCGAGCGUUAUUCGGAAUCACUGGGCGUAAAGGGAGCGUAGGCGGCGCGGUAAGUCAGAUGUGAAAUCUGGAGGCUCAACCUCCAAACUGCAUUCGAUACUGCCGUGCUAGAGUAAUGGAGAGGUAACUGGAAUUCUCGGUGUAGCAGUGAAAUGCGUAGAUAUCGAGAGGAAGACCAAUGGCGAAAGCA
Molecule: ribosomal RNA, 200 nt
Filed under: uncultured bacterium
Lineage: Bacteria
Description: partial 16S ribosomal RNA
Rfam family: Bacterial small subunit ribosomal RNA
Source: RNAcentral